Molecule: long non-coding RNA, 772 nt
Filed under: Felis catus (domestic cat)
Lineage: Eukaryota; Metazoa; Chordata; Mammalia; Carnivora; Felidae
Description: lncRNA (ENSFCAG00000044136.1)
Source: RNAcentral
AUGAGAAGUGUCGGGGGCUGUGGGAGGCGGUCUGCUUGGCCCAGAAGGGGGACGGGUGUGACUGGGACCAUGGCUCUGGAGGUCGGGGCAGAGGAGAGAGGCUCAAAAUGGAGGCAGGAGGUGGGUUUGGGGGAAGUGGGAACCCAGAGGUGGAAGAGCUCCUGUAGGAGUAGGGAGGCCCCAGGACAAUUCUGUGGAUGGUCACCAAAGCUGGCCGAGGCGGGUGGAGCGUCCUCAUUUCUCUGGUUUGCUUCCCACAGUUUGGGCACAGCAGCCACAGUCAUCUCUGGCUCCGUUGGUGUGGUGGCUCUCAUCUUGCUUCUGGUGGGUCUCUUGUCCAUGACCCUGAAGAAAUGGAGACAUGAGAGGCUAUUUAAGAAACAACUGAGGCACCAGACCAACUUUCUCCAUAAAACUUCGGAGUUUUCCUGCCACACUGAUGCCAUAUAUUCCAAUGUGAUCAACCUGACUCCCUGGAAAGAGGAUGACUUCGCUGUCUAUGCCAACGUGCCCCCUUUCGAUCGGCCCAGGAAGACAUCACCAGACCAAGUGGAAUAUGCCUCCAUUGUAUUCCACUGAUGGGAAGCCAAUGCGAUGCUUCAGGCUGAGAGUCAAACCUAUGCCCCAGCUGGUGUGUGUGUGUGUGUGUGUGUGUGUGUGUGUGUGUGUGUCUAGUUAGAAAAAUGCAUUAAAACAUUCUAAUGACGGUAAAUGGCUGGGUAUUCUUCUAAUUGAUUGGAAAUAAAGUGCAGUUCUAAUGGAAAGGAGUGGC